UUCUUCGCCUGCUAUUGUUUUCUUUUUCUUUUCAUUUCAGUAUAUUUUCAAGUUUUUUUUAUUGAAAUUGAAUUUUUAUUUCGUGUAUGUGGAAGAUAAAUGACAAGAAUGUUAUUGGUUGGUUCGGAUUCAAGCCUUUUUUCUUUGGCGUAGUGUGAGUUGGAGCAGCCGUCGGCAAAUGUGAAAAACCCCUUUUUUGCAUAGACCAUGUAAAACAACAAAGCAAUGCUCUUAUGGUAUUGACAGCAGACUGCUGCAUUUAUGAAAAUUGCAAGCAUAAUGUUGAAAGAAACAGGCUUCAAUGUGACCCUUCUCCUUACACAGUCUGAUUUGCCAGAUUUUCCUGAGCUGGUGAAGGAGCCAAUAGAUUCGUUUCUCUUCUGCUCCAGUGGAUGGGUAUCUUUGAGUUUGUUCCAUGGCUGCUCUACACCAGUACCAAAAAUGACAUAAAACAAAUUUGUC
Molecule: long non-coding RNA, 462 nt
Organism: Daphnia carinata
Lineage: Eukaryota; Metazoa; Arthropoda; Branchiopoda; Diplostraca; Daphniidae
Exons: 3
Source: RefSeq, a predicted model, not a curated record